UGCCAUUACUUUUGGGACCUAUCAGCUGUGGCAUUCUUCUAUUGUAGCCGUGGAAGAGCUUUUUACUUAAUGGAAAAGCUGCUAACAUUUAUAUGGUAUCAGAGUUUGACUUGCACAAGUAACAUUC
Molecule: small nucleolar RNA, 127 nt
Organism: Meriones unguiculatus (Mongolian gerbil)
Lineage: Eukaryota; Metazoa; Chordata; Mammalia; Rodentia; Muridae
Source: Ensembl